This 496-nucleotide ribosomal RNA is filed under the name uncultured bacterium. RNAcentral describes it as "partial 16S ribosomal RNA". It matches the Rfam family "Bacterial small subunit ribosomal RNA", at positions 28 to 507 of the family's 1533-position model. The record is from RNAcentral.
GAUGAACGCUGGCGGCGUGCCUAAUACAUGCAAGUCGAGCGAACAGACGAGGAGCUUGCUCCUCUGACGUUAGCGGCGGACGGGUGAGUAACACGUGGAUAACCUACCUAUAAGACUGGGAUAACUUCGGGAAACCGGAGCUAAUACCGGAUAAUAUAUUGAACCGCAUGGUUCAAUAGUGAAAGACGGUUUUGCUGUCACUUAUAGAUGGAUCCGCGCCGCAUUAGCUAGUUGGUAAGGUAACGGCUUACCAAGGCAACGAUGCGUAGCCGACCUGAGGGGGGAACGGCCACACUGGAACUGAGACACGGUCCAGACUCCUACGGGAGGCAGCAGUAGGGAAUCUUCCGCAAUGGGCGAAAGCCUGACGGAGCAACGCCGCGUGAGUGAUGAAGGUCUUCGGAUCGUAAAACUCUGUUAUUAGGGAAGAACAAAUGUGUAAGUAACUAUGCACGUCUUGACGGUACCUAAUCAGAAAGCCACGGCUAACUACGUG